AAGGAAUAUUGGUCAAUGGACGCAAGUCUGAACCAGCCAUGCCGCGUGAAGGAUGAAGGUCCUCUGGAUUGUAAACUUCUUUUAUCUGGGACGAAAACGGGAUUUUUAUCUCAAUUGACGGUACCAGAGGAAUAAGCACCGGCUAACUCCGUGCCAGCAGCCGCGGUAAUACGGAGGGUGCGAGCGUUAUCCGGAUUUACUGGGUUUAAAGGGUGCGUAGGUGGGCUUAUAAGUCAGUGGUGAAAUCUCCGAGCUUAACUUGGAAACUGCCGUUGAUACUAUAGGUCUUGAAUUAUCUGGAGGUCAGCGGAAUAUGUCAUGUCGCGGUGAAAUGCUUAGAUAUGACAUAGAACACCAAUUGCGAAGGCAGCUUACUACAUAUAAAUUGACGCUGAGGCACGAAAGCGUGGGGAUCAAACA
This 420-nucleotide ribosomal RNA is filed under the name uncultured bacterium. RNAcentral's name for it is "bacterial SSU rRNA". It matches the Rfam family "Bacterial small subunit ribosomal RNA", at positions 356 to 774 of the family's 1533-position model. The record is from RNAcentral.